RNAcentral lists this ribosomal RNA (1244 nucleotides) under metagenome. RNAcentral describes it as "bacterial LSU rRNA". It matches the Rfam family "Bacterial large subunit ribosomal RNA", at positions 1691 to 2925 of the family's 2925-position model. The record is from RNAcentral.
UGAGAGAACUCAGGAGAAGGAACUCGGCAAAUUGACACCGUAACUUCGGAAGAAGGUGUGCCUUUAGUAGGUGAACCUGUACAAGGGGAGCCCAAUGAGGUUGCAAAAAAUCGGUGGCUGCGACUGUUUAAUAAAAACACAGCACUCUGCAAACACGAAAGUGGACGUAUAGGGUGUGACGCCUGCCCGGUGCUGGAAGAUUAAAUGAUGGGGUGCAAGCUCUUGAUUGAAGUCCCAGUAAACGGCGGCCGUAACAAUAACGGUCCUAAGGUAGCGAAAUUCCUUGUCGGGUAAGUUCCGACCUGCACGAAUGGCGUAACGAUGGCCACACUGUCUCCUCCUGAGACUCAGCGAAGUUGAAAUGUUUGUGAUGAUGCAAUCUCCCCGCGGAAAGACGGAAAGACCCCAUGAACCUUUACUGUAGCUUUGUAUUGGACUUUGAAUAGAUCUGUGUAGGAUAGGUGGGAGGCUUUGAAGUGUGGUCGCUAGAUCGCAUGGAGCCAACGUUGAAAUACCACCCUGGUGUGUUUGAGGUUCUAACCUAGGCCCGUAAUCCGGGUCGGGGACAGUGCAUGGUAGGCAGUUUGACUGGGGCGGUCUCCUCCCAAAGCGUAACGGAGGAGUUCGAAGGUACGCUAGGUACGGUCGGACAUCGUGCUAAUAGUGCAAUGGCAUAAGCGUGCUUAACUGCGAGACUGACAAGUCGAGCAGAUGCGAAAGCAGGACAUAGUGAUCCGGUGGUUCUGUAUGGAAGGGCCAUCGCUCAACGGAUAAAAGGUACUCUGGGGAUAACAGGCUGAUACCGCCCAAGAGUUCAUAUCGACGGCGGUGUUUGGCACCUCGAUGUCGGCUCAUCUCAUCCUGGGGCUGUAGCCGGUCCCAAGGGUAUGGCUGUUCGCCAUUUAAAGAGGUACGUGAGCUGGGUUUAAAACGUCGUGAGACAGUUUGGUCCCUAUCUUCCGUGGGCGCUGCAGAUUUGAGGAAGCCUGCUCCUAGUACGAGAGGACCGGAGUGGACACACCUCUGGUGUAUCGGUUGUCACGCCAGUGGCAUUGCCGAGUAGCUAUGUGUGGAAGAGAUAACCGCUGAAAGCAUCUAAGCGGGAAACUCGUUUCAAGAUGAGAUCUGCCGGGGCCUUGAGCCCCCUAAAGAGUCGUUCAAGACCAGGACGUUGAUAGGUCGGGUGUGGAAGCGCAGUAAUGCGUUAAGCUAACCGAUACUAAUUGCUCGUGCGGCUUGAUCAA